RNAcentral lists this ribosomal RNA (494 nucleotides) under Mantophryne lateralis (Victoria Archipelago frog). RNAcentral's name for it is "partial 16S ribosomal RNA". The record is from RNAcentral. Lineage: Eukaryota; Metazoa; Chordata; Amphibia; Anura; Microhylidae.
GUACUUCGAACUUAGAGAUAGCUGGUUAUUCAGGAAACGGAUAUUAGUCCAAUUUUAAGUCUCCACACAACACUAAAUGUGCCCAUAGGCUCAAAAUUCACUCAAAUAAGGUACAGCCUAUUUGAUACAGGACACAACCUUUGACAGAGGGUAAUGUAUAAGAUGCUAUGAUUAAGUAGGCCUAAAAGCAGCCACCUUUUAAAAAGCGUUACAGCCUUAUCACACUGUAUUAUUAAUCCCAACCUUAACUCAAAACCCCUUAUUAAUACUGAAUGACCCCAUACUAAUAUGGGAGCCCUUAUGUUAAAACUAGUAACAAGAAUAAUUAUUCUCCUACAAAUGUAAGUGUAAGCCGAAAUGGACCACCCGUCGGCACUUACCGCUAAUGAACACACAGUAAUAACUCCGCCAGAAAACUCUACUUCCACCAGCGUUAACCUUACACAAGAACUUUUCUGGAAAGAUUAAAAAAGGGGGAAGGAACUCGGCAAACA